Molecule: long non-coding RNA, 967 nt
Filed under: Phaseolus vulgaris (common bean)
Lineage: Eukaryota; Viridiplantae; Streptophyta; Magnoliopsida; Fabales; Fabaceae
Description: long non-coding RNA (PVUL_LNC004122)
Source: RNAcentral
AGUUGAAGUAUAGAGACAAUAAGACAUUCAAAACAUGCAACAGAUGUUAGGUGGUCCUUUGGACAGGUUGUGUAUGGUGCAAGGUGAUGAAUUUGUGCUGAAUUAUGAUCUGCAACUUUAACCCAAAGUUGUGUGACCCUUAAGUCAAUUCUAUUGGGAGGCUGAUAUUACUCUGGUGGGAAGUACGGGCCAAUCUCGUAACAAUAAGCGGAGUCUCUAGUAGACUUAGGCAGGGUAUUAUGGGACUGUAACAGAGGUCAUGCAAUCAAGGAGCAACAGCUACAAGGUGCUGUACUGUGGCAAUAAAAGAAGUGUUAUAGGGGAGGAUGGAGCGCGGAACAAGGCAUCUAGCAAGGAACGAGUGUCAAACCCCUGUAUUGAGCAUGGUGGUUGGGUGCUGAGGAGUUCGGUGUGCAGAUGCUGUCAUGUGCAACACUCUGCUGCUUGGUAUGCUGGAAUUGGAUGUGGGGAUGUGCUUAUUUCACUCCAUUCAGAUUUGAAGCCACUGUUUUUGUGCUUUUCUGAGUGCUAGUGGUUCUGAUUGACCUAAGGCAUGUGCUGGUUUCUAGUAGCCUGCAGGUUGUUUUACUGCAUCAAUGAUUGUGUGAGUCUAGUAGGUGCUCUAUGGUGAUCAAGAACCAAAAGCUUCUGUUGUAUGGAGUUCUUGACUAUUGUAUACGGGUUGGGACACCCCAGAAGUGUCCCAUUUUAAUUUUAUUUAUUCUUUGCUGAUUAAAAAAAAAAGACAUUCAAAACAAAGAGAGACAUCAUAAAAACAAAUGACAAUUCAAUCCUUAUGCUUCGUGAUCAAAUCUCAAGAAAUCAAAUAGAAAGGAAACUCAUGAAAUUAGGUUAUCCUGAAUUAUUGGUCGUUCUAAACACUUCCAGAUUUUAAUCCUCAACCAUUCUUGAGGUCUCCACAUGCUAAAAAGGAAUGAACACAAACAAAUCAACACCUAAAACGGAA